Non-coding RNA from Paramuricea clavata, 97 nucleotides. NCBI's taxonomy places the organism in Eukaryota, Metazoa, Cnidaria, Anthozoa, Malacalcyonacea, Plexauridae. The record is from the annotation of a GenBank genome assembly.
AUCUUCCUUAUCCUCACAGAAGCUUCACAGAAGCUUCACAGAAGCUUCUGUAAUGCUUCUGUGAAGCUUCUGUAAAGCUUCUGUGAAGCUUCUGAGA